Molecule: ribosomal RNA, 1372 nt
Filed under: uncultured bacterium
Lineage: Bacteria
Description: bacterial SSU rRNA
Rfam family: Bacterial small subunit ribosomal RNA
Source: RNAcentral
GAUGAACGCUGGCGGCGUGCCUAAUACAUGCAAGUCGAGCGAACGGACGAGAAGCUUGCUUCUCUGAUGUUAGCGGCGGACGGGUGAGUAACACGUGGAUAACCUACCUAUAAGACUGGGAUAACUUCGGGAAACCGGAGCUAAUACCGGAUAAUAUUUUGAACCGCAUGGUUCAAAAGUGAAAGACGGUCUUGCUGUCACUUAUAGAUGGAUCCGCGCUGCAUUAGCUAGUUGGUAAGGUAACGGCUUACCAAGGCAACGAUGCAUAGCCGACCUGAGAGGGUGAUCGGCCACACUGGAACUGAGACACGGUCCAGACUCCUACGGGAGGCAGCAGUAGGGAAUCUUCCGCAAUGGGCGAAAGCCUGACGGAGCAACGCCGCGUGAGUGAUGAAGGUCUUCGGAUCGUAAAACUCUGUUAUUAGGGAAGAACAUAUGUGUAAGUAACUGUGCACAUCUUGACGGUACCUAAUCAGAAAGCCACGGCUAACUACGUGCCAGCAGCCGCGGUAAUACGUAGGUGGCAAGCGUUAUCCGGAAUUAUUGGGCGUAAAGCGCGCGUAGGCGGUUUUUUAAGUCUGAUGUGAAAGCCCAUGGCUCAACCGUGGAGGGUCAUUGGAAACUGGAAAACUUGAGUGCAGAAGAGGAAAGUGGAAUUCCAUGUGUAGCGGUGAAAUGCGCAGAGAUAUGGAGGAACACCAGUGGCGAAGGCGACUUUCUGGUCUGUAACUGACGCUGAUGUGCGAAAGCGUGGGGAUCAAACAGGAUUAGAUACCCUGGUAGUCCACGCCGUAAACGAUGAGUGCUAAGUGUUAGGGGGUUUCCGCCCCUUAGUGCUGCAGCUAACGCAUUAAGCACUCCGCCUGGGGAGUACGACCGCAAGGUUGAAACUCAAAGGAAUUGACGGGGACCCGCACAAGCGGUGGAGCAUGUGGUUUAAUUCGAAGCAACGCGAAGAACCUUACCAAAUCUUGACAUCCUUUGACAACUCUAGAGAUAGAGCCUUCCCCCUCGGGGGACAAAGUGACAGGUGGUGCAUGGUUGUCGUCAGCUCGUGUCGUGAGAUGUUGGGUUAAGUCCCGCAACGAGCGCAACCCUUAAGCUUAGUUGCCAUCAUUAAGUUGGGCACUCUAAGUUGACUGCCGGUGACAAACCGGAGGAAGGUGGGGAUGACGUCAAAUCAUCAUGCCCCUUAUGAUUUGGGCUACACACGUGCUACAAUGGACAAUACAAAGGGCAGCGAAACCGCGAGGUCAAGCAAAUCCCAUAAAGUUGUUCUCAGUUCGGAUUGUAGUCUGCAACUCGACUACAUGAAGCUGGAAUCGCUAGUAAUCGUAGAUCAGCAUGCUACGGUGAAUACGUUCCCGGGUCU